UGUGCUUCAAACAUGGGAGUCAUUGUCGCUGCUGGUUAAUGCUUCAGUCUAAUUCCAUCAAGCGAUCGGUGUCGAAUCAUUUGCCCCGCUUCCUUUUCUUUUCUUUUCUUUUUUUUUUUUUGGUGGGUUAGUCUGAUUGGGUUCAAGCCAGAUCUGGGUUAGGACUUAGGUGGGCUCAAACCUGAAUUUUAUAAUGUUUGGAGUUUAGGGUAAUUCUUUAUGCACCACAUACAAUGCAACAAAAAUGUAUCGCCCCAUCUUAUUGGGCCACAUAGCCAUCACUUUCCAAUGCACAUUUAAUGUCUGCAGUUUUAUUUUUUUCG
This 323-nucleotide long non-coding RNA is filed under the name Elaeis guineensis (African oil palm). Its description in RNAcentral is "long non-coding RNA (EGUI_LNC029657)". Lineage: Eukaryota; Viridiplantae; Streptophyta; Magnoliopsida; Arecales; Arecaceae. The record is from RNAcentral.